UACGUAGGGUGCGAGCGUUGUCCGGAAUUAUUGGGCGUAAAGAGCUCGUAGGCGGUCUGUCGCGUCGAAUGUGAAAACCCGGGGCUCAACCCUCGGGCCUGCAUUCGAUACGGGCAGACUAGAGUUCGGUAGGGGAGUCUGGAAUUCCUGGUGUAGCGGUGAAAUGCGCAGAUAUCAGGAGGAACACCGGUGGCGAAGGCGGGACUCUGGGCCGAUACUGACGCUGGAGGAGCGAAAGCGUGGGGAGCAAACAGG
Molecule: ribosomal RNA, 255 nt
Filed under: uncultured bacterium
Lineage: Bacteria
Description: partial 16S ribosomal RNA
Rfam family: Bacterial small subunit ribosomal RNA
Source: RNAcentral